CUCAUGUUUUGUGUUUGGAAUAAGUUUGUGGAUGUUGCAACAGCUGUAGAUUCUUGAUUUAGUCAGUGACAUGAUUUCACUCAUUCUUCCCCAACUUCCUGAGCUCAGCAUGUCCCGCUGUUGUUCGGGAGAGAUACCGGCUCAGCUGGCUGCUUUUCCAGGCAGCACUGCUCUCCCCAGGCCUCCCCCUGCAGACACCAACUUCUGUGUGAUAAGGAGAAGUUUUCAGCUCUGAACACUCAUCAAAAACACCACUCCUCCGUGUGGUGUUGCCUGCAAAGCAGUGGGAAGAUCAAACAGCCCCUCAGGCAGCUGCUCACAUUGGUCAGUGCCUCUGAGAAGGAUGAGCCCAUCAGUGGAGCCGAGCACUGCUGUACAUCACUGGCACGGGGAGGGGGAAUGACCUUGAGCUCUUGGCCAAGUCAGUAACAGUGUCAAUCCAUUAUCUCCAGGUACUAUCCAACAAGCUGCUGCAGGCAGGGAUGGCUCUGGAGCAGUUUGUAACUGCUUCAGUUGGAAAGCACAUCUAAACUCAAUUUAGUGAAUUUAGCAACACUGGAAACCCCCACUGUUAUUAGGAGUGACAGAGCCCUGGGUCUAUGUUCCUUUACACUCUUGUAAAAAUAAGAUAAUGCCCCCUUAAGUCUGCUGUUCUUUCUGUUAUCAAAAUUUGGACAAGUCACUAGUGGGGGUUUUCUUCAUAAAUCCUCAAAAGCUGUAAAAAAGUGGCAACUUCACAGUUGCUAUGCAAACACUCCAUAACAGAGCAAAUGACAUGAUGUGGUUCCCAGCAUUUUGGCUGUUGUUUUUCCUACUAGAGUGACAAGUUAACGUUGGCUGUUUUGUUACUGAGGAGCAGGAUCGUUGUUCCAAACAGCUGUCAUUUAAAAAAAGCAAGAAUAGAAGUGAAGGAAUAAGUUCCAUGUAACCAAUGGAUUUCCCUUGCUCAUCUAUUUAAUUACUUCAUUGUGGUGAGUAUGAGGAAGAUUUUCUAUAUGACCAUAAUAAAAAACUAGCCCUUCUAUGUCAGGAAUAACACGUACUGAACUGAAGUUCAGUCCUGCUUCAGCACAAACCAAUAACCAAAUUCAGAAUAAUUUCAUCAUUAUGGGCUAAGCGAUGCAAUCCCUGGCUUAGAGUGCAAUAAAAAUCUACCAGAAGCACAGAGAAUCAGCAAAAACUAUUUUCCAAAGUCUGGAUUUCCUGUGCACAAUAAAUUGUCAGAACAUCUCAUAGCCCAAGAAGGUACAAAUUAGGUUGUUGGUUUCCAGCUGCAAGUUAUUGGUGUGGGGAAUGACAUGGAUCAACAGAGCUGCUUGUGCACAUCCAUGUUUCCAGACUUUAAAGAGCUACUGACAAGGUAAUUGUUUGAUAGAUGCAGCAUGUUAUGGGGCUGCUCUCCAAACAACACCAACAUCAAUAUUUGCUCAUAUUGUCAGCAUAUGAGCGAUCUGCCCUCAAAUUGUGUCUGAAAGCAACACGACCACAUUUUCUCAGAAAAAGUUGCAUUUGCAUGUUCAGUGGAGAAAAAUCUCUGUUGGUGAUAACACACUGUGGUCAAGCUGCUCAAAAUUGCUGAGUAACUUCUGCCAGACAAACGCUCGCUGAGCGUGUUCUGAGAACGCUGAGCACGCGCUGGGCUGGCAGAGCUGCUCAGUCUCCACAUGAACUCUGGGAACCAACUCAUUCCAACUCAACUGGGAUUCAACUUGCAUUGCCCUGAGCAACACCAGGAGUUUCCUGAAUCAGUGAAUAGGAUCAGUUGUUUUAAUUUGAACCUUUCAGAAAGCAAAUCAGAACAAACCAGUCAGGUCGAUAGCGUUGAAAAUGCCCCUUUAUGUAUUAUGAUGUUUUUGGUCUGCUUGCACUUUUCUCCAUAAUCAUAUUGUCAUAAACAUUUUCCACUGAAAGUAUAAUGUGAACAACCCUUUUACUUUUCCAAUCCAGUGAAUUUUUAGGAAGAUGAACUGAAUAACAUUUCCAUAAAUCAGAAAGCAUUAAGUGGUACCAAUGGAAGGGAACUUGUUUCAACUGGACAGAAAUUCUUCUUCUCUGUUGUGUUUUUAUGCAUUGGGGCCAUCUACAGAUGAAGUUAUAAGGCAGUUUUCAUGCAUGAGGUAAGAAAAUGGUCAAUACUAGGUUUUAAAGCAUUUUAGGAGACUUUGACCUUAGCAGUGUAUGUCUUGUAUGACCAGUAAAUUAGAAGGGAUUCCACUUUAUAUUAAUAACAAAUAUAAGUAGGCUUGAAAUGUCUCUAAAAUGCCCUUAUAAUAAAUUCCACCUCAAACAGAUUUCAUUGUGCUGCAAGUUUUCCAUCAUGUUUUUCAGCUUAUGGGUGCAUGUAAAAUAUUAUGUAUUAUCCUUUCUUUAAUGUCACUAGUGCCACACUAUUUAGGAAGUUCAUUUGGUUGUCCUGGGGUUAAAGAAAGCCUAAACUUGUACUUGACACUCUUUCUUGUUACAGGGUCCUGCUUGCUUUCUGCUCUGUAGAAAAUGGAUCAGUGUCAUUGGUCUGUCUUUCCAUUAUUGCCAUUUUCCUAUUUUUAGCAUAUUUUUCACUACUAUGCCCUAAUUCAUGUUAAAAUUCAGUGUGUCCUGUUUCCUUGACUCCAGACAUUGCUCCUUGAAGAUGCAGAUCUGCUGAAAAACAGUACUCUUUAAAAAGUAAACAGUUUCCCUUACUCUCAGACUAACAUUAAAAAACAGUCUCUCAAAAGUUCUCAAAGGAACAUGUUUAAAAAUGAAUGGGUAGACAUUUGUCUUUGUAAUGGAUAGUGUAUUUUUAGGUAGUAUAAAUUUUAUAGAAGUCAUAAAGUUUUAUGAACUUUAACAAAUGUCCUUCUCAGAAUAACUUGGGUCUUAUUGUCAGUAUGUUAUCUGGGAAAAGGCGACCAGAUCUCUUCCUAAAAGUGAGGAAUUUGCAAGUGGGAGGUUACUUAGGUUUGGGAAGAGAGUUUAAAAUCAAUCCUUUCAAUGCCUGCAGAGGCAAUGCAGCAAAACCAGUUGUGUGGCUUCAGAAUUCUUUUGGUUUUUCUCUAAAACCCAAUAAACCUCUCUGCCAGGCAGGAUUUGCCUUCUCCUGCAGGAAUUUGUCUCCCUUUCUUGGGACAAAUGUGACCUGCUCACUAGUCCCAUAAGCUACAAGUUACUUGAGCUGAACUUGAGGAAAAAAGGUCCCUGGACUUGCUGUGUCUGUGUCCCACGUGCUGGCACCCAGCCCUCAGCUGAGGACACACUGAAAUCUGCUUCCCUAUAGGCCUGAUCCUGCCUGAGCUUCAGGUGGUAAUUAAAUUCAUCAUCAUCUACACCUAUUUCCACUUAACCUCUUGAGAGGAAGAGCCACCUGAACACCAGCAGUUGCUGGAACUUGCAGGAGUGAGGCACCCACAGGGAAUAGAAGCUCUCCCAUUUCUCCAUCUCCAAAAGGCCUUCCAUCCUUCCAGAGCAACCCAGAGCCUUUCAGUGCCACACUUGUGAUGUUGGACUGGUUUGGAAUGUGCAGUCAGCAGAAGGGAAGGUGGGAGCAUGUGGGAAAACACACUCCAUCUCCCUAUGCAGAGAUAUCCCAAGUGUGCACCUCAAAGGAGGAGCAGUUCAUUGCUGGCCAAUCCCAUGACUAUUGCAUGAACACCCUCAUCAUUCUCUGCUCUUCUGGGAGAUAAACUUCCCUGGACUUCAGGAAAACUUCACUUCAGCACUUCUUAAUAUCUUCUAUCAGAGGCACAAAAAGCCCUCAAAUUAUUUAGGGAGAAAAACCUUAUCCCGCUUCAGAGACAAGAUAACCUGUGGAGGUGCAGAGCUUAGAUUGUCUUCCCAAAUGGAUACAGCAUGGGAAUGAGGAAUCAGAGGACUCAGUGAAGCAGAAAACCAAAAGUUAGUCUUCAGUGGUUGGGGAAAAUCCUGAAAGUUGGCAGAGGUGGUCUCCAGAUGAUCCAGCCCAGUUUUUCCAGGACGAGGGAGCAAAGAGCUGGCAAGUGCAGAUUCCAGUUGCUCCUGGAGUCACAGAAAAGGGAAGAGGAAACACCGUGAUGAGGGGAUAUAAACCCACGUGCAGGGACAUGAAGCAGAGGACCUGCUUGGACUGUGACCACUGACAACCUCUCAGCUACACGAGGAGUUCAAGGAGUGCACCACAGUUUGUCAGUGGCUCCCGUGUACCUCUUGCUGCCCUCCUGUCUGAAUGUCACCUUCCCAACUCUUCUGUGUGGUCAGAGCACAGGAGCCGGACUUUGGGAUGAAUCCAGCAUGAGAAAGGUGCUCCACAAGGACAAUUCCUGUGCUCCAGCCAGACCAGAUUGGAAAACCCAACCAGGUGUGCAAUAGGGAUGUGGGGCCCCGACGACCAGCUGGAGAUCUGCUCCUAUUUGGCUUUCCCAUUACUUUCCAAUGUAGAUGGAGCCAUGUGACACCCAGAGUCCCUCAGCAGCAACACACCAGUUAUGGAAAAGACUCCAAAACAUCACCAAAAAGAGGACUGGGCAAUACUGUGAAUUUCAAGUCUUUGAUGAACCAUCAUUCCAGUAACCCUGCCAGAUACAGAUACCACUGGUCUUAACUAGCACAGCCAGAGAUGAAGUUGCCAAGAACUCUGGAAAAAAAAGGGAGGAAAACAAAGUCAGCCGACUGCAUGCCAAGGAGGAGGCAGAAAAACAGGUACCUCUGGAGCCCUCUCCACAUGAUGCUAUGGAGGGAACUUUUACCCUGUGGAGAAACACCAGAGUUUUAAUUCCCUAUGGAGAAAGCCAAAAGAAGCAGCUUCGACUCAACGCCCAGCCUUUAGAUGCCUAAACUGAGCCACAGGGCAGCCUGGCUGUUGCCAGGGAUAUGGUAAAUGCAUGUGACACCGGGCCACCACCAACAAUCGAGCGAGUCACACUCAUUCCUGGUGUAACGGCGCUGAAAUCGGCACAGCCAGGCUGGGAGCUGCACAGCCCAGCUAUGAACCUGGAUAAAGAGUUUUCUUUAAGGAAAGUGCUCUUCAAAAUAGCUUUUGGGGAGAAAUAAUGUGCAGGUUUUACUUGUAAAAUGGCUGUUGGCAAAGGAUUUGUUGCCAAACUCCAGUCAGAGCACUAGUGAGAGGUGGUAAACAUGCCAUUCUGACAAGGAAUUAGCAGGCAACGUAGCACUGGGGAAAAUAUUACGACUUUCUUCUUCCCUGACCUGGAAGAGCCUGUUAGGAGAUUAGGAAUCUCCAUCUCUCAAAGGUAUAGCUGUUUUACCAAAAUUUAAUUAAUGAAGAAUAAUAUUUUGGGAACAAGAGAAAAACACCUCUGUAGGAUGUGGAGUGUUAGGAAUACAUGGAAAGUUGCCUGUAUAAACAGUUCAGCAACUCUGGGAUAAAUUAUAGGAGCAUUUGUAUGCAUGAUUGCCCAUCUGUGUAAAACAAGACGUGCAGCCACAGACAGGAAUGAUGUGCAAGGCAGACGUGGGGCUGAUGUUAACUUGAUCCAGAACAGAAGAUCUGUCCCAUCACAUCUGAGUUUGACCCAAGGAAGUUUAGAUAAAUCUAAAUAAGUAAAUAAAUAGAGGAAGAGGCCUCAGUGAGAGGAAACUCAAGGUAUGCUAUCCACGAAUCUGUUUCUGGGUUUGGGGUUUAUUUAGACUCAAGUCAGAUUUUGGACUGUUAUUUCUCCACUUGAAGGUUUUUUGGCAGUUGCAGGAGGGCCGAAGGCUCAGAUCCAGUGUGUUCCUUCCAGCUGCAGGCCCAGCACAGGCCACGGGCACUGGCAGGGGUGUGGUGAGCUGGAGGGCUUCAAACCAGGGAUGCUGUCAAGAACUCUGCCUUCCACAGCUCCCCUCUCAAGCACCAGCUGCAAAAUGUCAACACCACCUUCCUCAGAGAACACAAUUAAUUAAACCAGGCUUAAUUAAUUAGUGUCAGUAAAGCAGAUGUAGCAGUUAUGGUGGAAGUAAACAAAUGUACGUAUUGUAAAUUAUCAUCUUCUCUGCAAAGGAUUUGGUCUGAAAUCCCUGUGGCCAUCUCACUCCUCCCCACAAUGCUAUUGGGGAGGCCUCUGGGAAACAUGCAGAGAUAAACUGCUAAUUGAUGAGGAACUAAUAUACUUCUAUAGGUUUAUAUCUCAGAAAAACAAUCAGCAAAUAGAUUUGUUUAUUAACCCCUUUGGACUUGAUGGUGAAAUACAAUCCUGAUAUUUAAUUUCCAUAUCAUGCAACAUCAUGUACCACAAAUAGGUCAAUUGUUUAAAGUCUUGGGAGUUUUAUUUGAAAUGUUUUACAGUUGAAAAUCCAACUGAGGCUUUUGUAUCAUCUACCAGUGCUGUUCUUUGAUAGAGCAGGAGAAAAAGUGUUUCAUAUACAGAUAAUAAUCAACUGUGUAUCUUGGUCUGAGUGUGUGCUCACUGGAGCAGAUUUUGGCCUGAUUUUGCCCUACUGAGAGUGAGGAAAAAUGAUGCUAAACUUGGGUUGGUUACACUGAAUGUAGCCUGAUGUGAGUAAGGGAGAGCAUCAUAACCCCACUGACCCAAUAUACACCUCCCCUGGGGCAAAAGGGACACCUUUUAUAACAUCAGUAGGUGCUGAGGCAAUGACAGCAUUCAUCCCUGCAUUGGAGGUUGAGAUCAAGGGAAAGAAAAGGGGAAAAAAAUUGGUGGGGUAAUGAAACACCAGUAACUAGUGAUUGUGAAGGUAUUUGUUAUAUGUGUCUGUGCAGUUGGUGUUCUGUAAAGCUGAAUGUGAGUGUGAAAAAGCAGACAUGGAGCCACUCCAGUCUGGAGCCUUUAGAAGGAAAGUGAAGUAAAUCUCUCGUGCCCUGUAGAUAUGAGGACAAUGCAAACUCAAUAUAACGGGCACUGUAAUAGUGAAGCACACUUGGAAAAUGCAGAUAGAGAAGGCAUACUUUACUAGGGUACAGUCAUCUCCCUAAUUCAUGCUGUAAAGAAGCCACGAAGGGGGAAAAAUUCCCCCUUUCCUUGGUGAUGACUCAAUGGAUUAAUGUAGGCAGCAGCCUAUGGCCAGGGUGCUGUGAGGGGUAAGUUGCAGUCAGAGGCCACUGCUCUUCCUGCCACUUAGCCUGUGUGAUUCCCCUUCCCCCCCCCCGGGAUACUGAUAUCAAUUUGUGGAAACAGAAGUUUCCAUGGCCCAUGCCAAGGUCUCCCCUUUCUUUCUUCAGCUGACAGCAAUUCCUGUGCACAGGACUGCCCAGUGCCGGGCUGUGUGUGCCGGACGCUGCUGCAGGGUACGGGCUGUGCCCACCGGGGACUGCAGGGGAGUGCAGGGCCCUGCCGGCACCUCUGUGGGCUUCCAGUGUGGUGUUUCCUGCUUUGGGCUUGGGGUGCUUCUCGUCCUUCCGUGUGUCCGUCUGUUCAUCUGUCUGCCUGUGUGUCUGUCCGUCUGUCUAUCCAUGUGUCCGUCCGUCUGUCUGCCUGUGUGUCUGUCCGUCUGUCUAUCCAUGUGUCCGUCUGUCUCUGUCUGCCUGUGUGUCUGUCUGUCUGCCUAUCCAUGUGUCCGUCUGUCUGUCCUUGUGUCUAUUCGUCCGUGUGUCUAUCCGUCCAUAUAUCCAUGUGUCCAUCCGUCCAUGUGUCCAUCUGUUCGUCUGUCUGUCCUUGUGUCUGUCCGUCUGUCUAUCCAUGUGUCCAUCCAUCUGUCUGUCCUUGUGUCUAUUCGUCCGUGUGUCCGUCCAUCCACAUGUCCUUGUCUGUCCGUCCAUGUGUCCAUCCAUGUUUCCGUCUAUUUAUGUGUCCGUCUGUGAGUCUGUCUAUCCAUCCAUGUCUAUCCUUUUGUCCGUGUGUCCGUCUGCAUGUCCAUCCAUCCGCCUGUCCGUCUCUCCGUCCAUCCAUCUGUCUGUCCAUCCAUCUGUCCGUGUGUCCGUUCAUCCCUCUGUCCAUCUGUGUGUCCAUCCCUCUGUCUGUCCGUCUACGUGUCUGUCUGUCCAUCCGUCCAUGUGUCUGUCUGUCGGUGUGCCCGUUGGUGUGUCCAUCCAUGUGUCUGUCCGUUUGUCCGUGUAUCCGUUCAUCCGUGUGUCUGUCUGUCCAUGUGUCCAUCCAUCUGUCCGUCCAUAUGUCUGUCCAUCCAUCCAUCCAUGUGUCCAUCUGUCCGUCCGUCUCUGUCCGUCUGUCCUUCUGUGUGUCUGUCCGUCUGUCUGUGCAUCUGUCUGUGUCUGUCUCUCUGUCUUUGUGUCUGUUUGUCCGCGUGUCCAUCUGUGUGUCCGUGCGUCUGUGUCUGUGAGUCCAUCUGUCUUUCCAUCUCUGUCCGUCUAUGUGUCUGUCCGUCUCUCUGUCCAUCUGUGUCUCUGUCCAUCUCUUUGUGUGUCUGCCUGUCUUUCUGUCUGUUCAUGUGUCUGUCCGUCUCUGUGUGUCUGCCUGUCUUUGUGUCUGUGUGUCUCUGUCUGUCCAUCUUUGUGUGUGUCUGUCCUUCUGUCCAUGUGCCUCUUUGUGUCUGUGUGUCCAUCUGUCUCUCUGUCCGUCUGUCUCUGUGUCUCUGCCUGCCUUUGUGUCACUCUCUCUGUCCAUCUGGCCGUGUGUCAUGUCUCAAAAUAACGUUUCAUAUCCCCCUUUUUAAUUCUCUCAGAGUCUGAAUUCUCCCCUUUUAAAUCGCACACAGGGCUUUUGUUCUUGUUCUUCUCUCUCAUUUAAAAAAUUACUUUUUUUUUGCUCUUUUAGUGCAUCUUAGAGAGGCUUUACAAGACAGCUUUGCCAGCAGCCAGCUACACUGAGCUUUCUGGGAUCUGAGCACCUACCCAGGCAAUGGUAACUUUGCAUUUAAUCGUCAGUGACAGGUUUUACACGAACACAAAAUACAAGUAAUUCUCAGGAACUUAAUGCACUAAAAGCUAACCAGCUCUCUCCUUUUUUUGUAACCUUGUUUUAUAUUCUGGAUAACACUUAAAAGUGUGGGGGGGGGAGCCCAGUUGAAUGCAAUUGAGGCAGUUGAAUGCAAAGCUCUGAUAACAAGUAACUAAACAUGUAACUAAGCAAUACGAUCUUCAGAAGUCACUGGUCAGAUCGUAUGACCUCCACUUACACAGGAAUUUCUGAGAGCGAGUCCAGCACGUUAGUGUGUUACAGAGUCCGAGUACUUCUGCAGACCUUGUAUCAGUAGAUGCCCACAGGCAUCACCUCUCCUGCCUCUUCCCAUUUGCCAGUCCUCAUGCUGUACCCAUGCCACGCUGGCAGUGCCUUUCCAAAUCUCCGCUCUUUUUCAGCAGUCAGUGAAUGAGAAGCCAAAAGCCAGCGGGCUGAAAUGUGGAGGCCCAGCAGGGUGCUGUGGCUGCAGCCUUUGCUACCUGCCUGCAGGAAGCUGAACAGGUUCCAUCCUCCUGUCCUGUACGUUAACUGGCCCGGCCUCUCCAAGGAGAGGCAGCAGCAUUGAUUUACUGCACUGUAUAAAUGUGUUUAUGGCUUGGCACGAGCACACUUACACUCGCUAUUUUCCAACGUGGAUUUCCAAUAAGCCCCUUGCUCAAAUGAGUCUAUUAAAUUUAGAGUGCCUGAAGCUAAAACUGAAUUCUGAGAGGUAGCUUUGGGGGUUAAAGCCCAAAACAGCUGGGAAAGGCUCCUGGAGCCUUCUGUUAGUGCCCGUUGGGGUUGAUAUUUAUAUUGAGCAAAAAUAAUUGAAGAAGUUAAAGCAACCCUGGCAGAACACAUCGCCUCAGCCUGAGCUGCCUUUUUAUUCAGCUGGCACUCAGACACACUCGAUUCCACAGGGUUAUUAGAGCAGCUCCUGAAUUAAGCCAAUGUGAAAUCAGAAUAUGACCCAUUCCUUUCUCUCCUUAUGGACUUAAUUUGCAGUAGUCCCAUUUCCCUGUUUCUGCAGUGGGGUACAAGAGCCGGGGGAGAAGCCCAUCCAACCGUGGUCCCUCCCUCAUGGGUGUGUUUUGGUCUCUGGUGUUCUGCGGGGCUGGGAUGCAGUUCCCUCCCCUCUCCCAGCCUGGAGCUGUCCUUGGAGCCUGUCAGUGCUGCCCUGCUCACUGCUGUGACACUGUCAUGUGUAACAGCAAUUACCAUCUCUGCAGGGACAGGAAAUGGAGCAGAAAGUUUUAGAGGACCCCUAAGUACAAUCCAUAAUUACCUAUGCCUGCUCAAGAUUAUGUCUCUCCAGCUAAGGAAUAAGGCUGAUUUCUAGUUGCUAGUAGUUGGGCUUUAUUUGGAAUAAAAAAGGAAUGCCUUACUACCCAUGGAGGACAAAAACCAGAUUUGUAGAGAAUGGGAUUAAAUUAAAGAAAGUAGAGUUUAGGAUGAACUCUAGGGGUAAAAAUCUAGAGUAAAUCUACUGAACUGUGGAAUGAUCUCAAGUGAACAAUGGAGCCUCACAGUGUGAAGAAAUAAAAUGAUAUCUGCCAAAGCCUUGGGAAGGCAAUGUCUGGGGAGGCAGCAUGACCUGGCUGUGGCAGUGCAGGAAUUGUGGGUAUUGGGAUUGUACAUUGUACAUCCACUGAACCUACACUUGUCCUGUAUUAAAGUCUGUGUGUAUUUCUCAGGCAGGUACGACCUGCAUAGCUUUAAAUCCUGCCUCCAUUUAAACUAAUCGGAAUCGUACAGGCUAACUGAACAGGGAGCCAUCAGAGCACACCAGUGACUCUGGCUGUCCCACCCUCAGCACAUGAUGCCUUAAAAAUUCUUCAGACCUACAUGAGUUAGAACGUGGUUAUUACUGGAUAUUUCUGCUUAAGAAGUCUCCUCUUGGUUUUACAAUUAUCUGUAGCAUUCAGCUCUAGUACGUACGGGUAGAAAAGAAGACACAAACCAAAAGCAUUUCUCUCAUUUGCUGGAAGGAGAGAAAAAUACAACCAGACUUGCUACAGAAUUAGAACUAAGUAGAAUUACUUUGCUUUUUUUUUCCCAUGGAGUUUGUUCAGUUUCUGGCAGAUAACAAGGAAGCAUCUCCUGAUCUGUAGCUGCCUAGGGAAUCCCUUUUCUAGAGGAAAGAGAAGUUGAGGAGGAAGAAGGUUGGUGGGCUGAGUCCUGAACCUGACCUAGAGCUGUGCCAACAAAUCCAUGUGCUGUGUGUGAGUGCCCUGGGGAACAGGACCCUUGUAGCUUCAAACACCACAAUACAAAUGCCUGGUCUGUUGUGCUCGUGGGUGUGUUGGAUAAAAUACUUGGAGGAUAAAAUACAACACUUUUCCAUGAUGGAGACUCCAGUCCCAACCAAGAGAGCACAACCACACCAGUGUAACACUCCUCCUGCAGACACACCACCACCCAGGUAAGAGUUCAUCUGACUGAAAUAUCCCUGAGGCAGCUGACAAGAAACCUUGAACUGCUUGAAUACAAAACCAGCUGCCUGCGUUCACUGUGGGGUGACCCUCUGCUCCAGCUCUCUGGAGCAGCGAGGCCGAGCAGUCCCAGGGCAGGCGGGAGACUCCGGAGUGCCGCCAGGCUGAUGGAGACCGGCGUUUGUCCGAGGAUUAUCCUCACAUUUUCGCUUGUUCUGUGUGGGUGGGGACUUGAUGACAAUUCCCUGAAAUUUCAAUUUGGAAGAAAGAACUUCACGUUUGACCUUUUCUCUCCAGCGCCGUGUCUGCCUGCCUUGCCCACAGGCUUCAGAUGGGUCCUGUUCCCUUCGGUUUAAGGUCCAGAUGAGUGAAAUGAGGAGAUCCCAUGUCGGCUGCAUGAGUGUUCCUGCCACUGCCCGUGGCUGGAGUUGCCUGAUGCCAUGAGUUUUCUGUGUCAUGGACCAUCGUGAGAGAAAACCAUGUGCUGAGGGAGAAACCCAGCAGUGAAGGAGUAAAUAGCUGCUCUGAAGAUCAGCUUAUUAAGAGGCGGACAUCUGAAUGAAGUGAGGUUCCUGGGGAGUCUGUGGCACCAGACAUGCCAAAAAGGGAGGCAUGAAACCCUGUUAUGUGCCAUGACCAAGCAAAAGGCGUUUUUACCUAGACAGGAUUGGUGGUUAAUAUUCUGCUCCUGUGCUGUGCUCACUGAAGCCCCGGAGUGCUUUUGUUCAUGAUCUGGGUCUUGUGCAGCACAUUUACAUGUGACCAACUGUUGGAGUGGCUCAGUCACCUUGGUACAGAACAGGGCUCAGCUGAAAUGCCAAAGGCACGAGCUUCGUUUGGGACGUGAGGAAAAACCAAACAAAAAUAUCACAACUUUUUUUUUCUUUUUCUUUUUUUCUUUGAUAAAAGCCUUAACAACAGCUUCCUUAUUCAACAGGAUGGUGUGUCGUAUGGUUACAUCACAUCUGGUCAAAAGCCUAAAGAUGAUUUAGCUUUUAACUAACUUUUUUUACUUUUAAUUGAGUUUGUUAGGCGUAAAUAGCUGAAUGACACAGCAUUUGUUUAACUCAGUAUAUUCACAGCUUAAUUAAAUAAUUCACAUGCCAGUCUCUAAUCGUGACGUGAAAAGACCAAAAACCAAAUUAAAUAAUCAUAGCUCCCUGAGCCAAUUGCUUGGAAAAGAGGAGCAGGGUCUGUUGAGACAUAUGGCAAACAAUCUUUGCUGCAAAUCAGCAAGCUAAAACACACCACUACUACCAUGUGGUAAGAGUAUAUAUCCUUUUGCACAAUAUAUUUUCCAAACACACUCUCGCCAGGAGCAGCAGGUGUGUAACUGAACUUGGGCUUGAACAGAUAAUUUGAGUAUUAUGAAUUGGAAGGAAAGGGAGGAAGCUGGGAAAGGGGAUGAAAUAUUGUAAAUUAAAAUUGCAAUUUCCCUUACAGCUUUUUUAAUUGUUAAGUUAUAAGUUGGGAAUUUGUGAAAUGUGACAAAUAAGGAAGUAAUUGAGAAUGCCUGCUGCACUGAGAUCUGUCUCUGCCAACAUAUGCGUUCUCUGCUGUGGUGCUGUGGUAAUCCUGGUGUGGCACGGGCAGGACGAAGGAGGCGUGCGGGGGAAUAUCCACUGGAGCCAGAACGGCAGGGCCUCGAAAAUUCCAUAUGAGGAUCCCAGAGUAGAGUAAGACACCAUCAGGAGAUUGGAACCUGUGCCAGCCUGCAGAGGCCUGUCCUCCAGCUGAGAACAGCUCAAGUGCAACGUGUGCUGGCCACGUGUCCUCCUGUGCCUUGUUCAUUUUUCCUUUGGGGUGAAAAGACAUGGGAAGAACCUGCCACCUCUGCCAGCUGUGCCAGAAAACUUCUUUCCUGAAGAAGUUGUGUGUGAUUGAUCUCUGAAGCAACUGCUGAGUUACAAUCCCACAAAAAACACGGAAUUGCUGUCUGCUCGUGUUCUCUGGUAGUGAUUUUUUACCAGGAUUCUGUACCUGGCAACAGUACCUCAGCCCAUCUCUGCAUGAAUCCGGUCCAGCUCUGAAUGUCUUGAACAUUAAGCACACAGAAAGAUUGCUUAGAUGUUUAGGAUUUCUCUUACAAAGCAGAUGAUACAGAUGCUCAGGAAGAUUCAGUGAAAUGGUAGUGUAAUGAUAAAGAUUUGAUUGUGCUAGUCCACCAGUUUGUGAACUUUAAGGAAGAUACAUCAGAAAUCACAGCUUGGGAUUUCUUCCCUACAGAUUAUUUUAAACUGUGCCAUAAGCAGACGGAAGAUCUCCAGCAACAUAACUUUGUAGUAAGAAAAUGCCUUCAAGCUGUCCCAGAAGACAAGGGCUUUACACAGAGAUGUGUCCCCAAUGUACAGAUCCAUGGGGUUCAUGCCAAGAACAUGGAAAAAUCCUUCUACUACUGCCCUGCUGGCCACCUGGGAGUACAGAAAGCAAGCAACCAGCUUAUACAACUGCAAAAUCUACUUAAAAGAAGGGAUUAUCAUGUUCCUUCCUCUCUGGGGAAAGGGAGAAAGCCUGACCAGGAAAACAUGACUGAUAGUAAAUGUUUUGGGGUUUUUUUUAAAUAAUUAAAUAUCUUACAUUCCCAUAAUCACUGCAUUGUUUUAUGAUCUCAGAGGUAACAUUCAGAAAUCAUGACUGAUAGGAAAUGGUAAAAAGUUAUCAAAUCUGUUACAUUCCCAGAAUCACUGCACUUUUUUAUAAUCUCACAGAUUGAUAACAUUCAGAAAUCAUGACUGAGAGUAAAUGAUAUAAAAAAAAAUGCAGUGAUUCUGGGAAUGUAAGGGAUUUAAUAAUUUUUUAAUCUCACAGAUACCAUUCAGAAAUCAUGACUGAUAGUAAAUGGUUUUUUUUAGAAAUGAUUAAAUCUGUUACAUUCCCAGAAUUUUUUAAUCUCACAGAAACAUUCAGAAAUCAUGACUGAUACUAAGUGAUAAAAGAUGAUUAAAUCUGUUACAUUCCCUGAAUCACUGCAUUUUUUUAUAAUCUCACAGAUUAUGUUCAGAAAUCAUGACUGAUAAUAAAUGGGGUUUUAAAAAAAAAAUGUUUAAAUCUGUUACAUUCCUGUAAUCAUUGCAUUUUUUUUUAUACUCUCACAGGUAACAUUCAGAAUUCAUGACUGAUAGUAAAUGAUAAAAGAUGAUUAAAUCUGUUCCAUUCCCAUAAUCACUACAUUUUUUCAUCAUUUCUCAGGUAACAUUCAGAAAUCACGGCUGAUAGUAAAUGUAUUUUUUUUAAAUGAUCUGUUACAUUCCCAUAAUCACUGCAUUUUUUUAGGAUCUCACAGAUACCAUUCAGAAAUCAUCACUGAUAGGAAAUAAUAAAAAACUAUUAAAUCUGUUACAUUCCCCCAAUCACUGCUUUUAUUUUCUGUAAUCUCACAGAUACCACUCAGAAAUCAUGACUGAUAGUAAAUGCUUUCUUGAAGAAAAGAUGAAAUCUUUUACAUUUCUGUAAUCCCUGUGUUUUUUUAAGAUUACAUCCAUAUAUGUUUAAUCUAUGAACACUAAACACAUCUUGCAGUAGUUUAAAAACAGUUCUGUUGAGACUUGCUGCAGUUUUUAAUAUAACUGUAGAUACCUAAUCUAGUGUCAUUUCUGUGUCACGUUGAUGGUGCUCGAAGAGCCUCUGGCACUUUUCUGAAAAGGCACCUACUUGGGUUUAAAAUGAGUAUAUUUGAGGUCAUUAGGAAAGGAAAUUUCCAGCACUAAUUCUGCCCUACCACAGGUUUUAGCAGAAAGAACAAACCAAAGAACAAAAGGAAACCCAACAACUGUGUUUGAUGAAUCCAUGUGCAGUAUUUUUGUUACAAUGAAAUAAAACACCAGACACCUUGAA
Molecule: long non-coding RNA, 15007 nt
Organism: Pseudopipra pipra
Lineage: Eukaryota; Metazoa; Chordata; Aves; Passeriformes; Pipridae
Exons: 22
Source: RefSeq, a predicted model, not a curated record